GACGAACGCUGGCGGCGUGCUUAACACAUGCAAGUCGAACGCUGAAGCUUGGUGCUUGCACUGGGUGGAUUAGUGGCGAACGGGUGAGUAACACGUGAGUAACCUGCCCUUGACUCUGGGAUAAGCCUGGGAAACUGGGUCUAAUACCGGAUAGGAACGUCCACCGCAUGGUGGGUGUUGGAAAGAUUUAUCGGUCAUGGAUGGACUCGCGGCCUAUCAGCUUGUUGGUGAGGUAAUGGCUCACCAAGGCGACGACGGGUAGCCGGCCUGAGAGGGUGACCGGCCACACUGGGACUGAGACACGGCCCAGACUCCUACGGGAGGCAGCAGUGGGGAAUAUUGCACAAUGGGCGAAAGCCUGAUGCAGCGACGCCGCGUGAGGGAUGACGGCCUUCGGGUUGUAAACCUCUUUCAGUAGGGAAGAAGCGAAAGUGACGGUACCUGCAGAAGAAGCACCGGCUAACUACGUG
Molecule: ribosomal RNA, 470 nt
Filed under: uncultured bacterium
Lineage: Bacteria
Description: partial 16S ribosomal RNA
Rfam family: Bacterial small subunit ribosomal RNA
Source: RNAcentral